Molecule: long non-coding RNA, 1436 nt
Filed under: Junco hyemalis (dark-eyed junco)
Lineage: Eukaryota; Metazoa; Chordata; Aves; Passeriformes; Passerellidae
Description: lncRNA (ENSJHYG00000016740.1)
Source: RNAcentral
GAGUCCCGAGGGUCUCUGGAAUCCCGGGGCGCUUGGAGGGGUUUGGGCGCGGUCAGGAGCAGACCGGGCAGCAGAGGGGCUCCAGGGCCGGGAGAUGGCGCCGGGGCCGGCCCCGCUCGCUCGGGGUCCCCGCCCGCCCCUCCCGGCUCCGGUAAUCACGUGAUCCCCCCGGGAUGCUCGGUGCUCUCAGCCAAUCAGCGUGCAGGGAUCGCCUGCAUCCCGCUCGGCCAAUGGGAAUCCGCCAGACCUUACGUCAUCGCGGCCGGCCGCGCCCCGCCUCGCCAUUGGCUGCCGCCCGCGCGGGCUCCGGCCAAUCGCCGCUGGCCGCGGCCUCGCAACCACCUCGCCCCCGCGGCCUCACAACGGGUGGCGUCAUCCCCGCCCGUUGACCAAUCAGUGUCGCUCUUGCCUUUGACAGGCAGGGAUUGGGACCAAUCGCGGCCCGGAGCAGCGGGGCCGGGGCGGGCACGAGGAGGUGCGGGCGGAAGCGGAAGCGGCGGCGGCGGCGGGGGAAGAUGGCGGCGCGGCGGGGCCCGGGGCCGGUGGCGGCGCUGGCGCUGCUGGCGCUGCUCGGCCCGGGGUGGCCCCUCCGCGGGGCCCGGGCCACGCUCAACCUGCAGGAGCUCAGCGAGCUCAAGUACGGCCUCGAGAUCCUGGCCGAGCCGGUGCUGGCCGGGCAGGUGCGCCGCGGUACCGGAGCCAACGGCUGGGGGAGGGGGAGGCGGGUGGCGUCCGGGGGGCUCUACCGGGAGCGGCGGACCGGCCAUGGGGGUGCCGAGGAGCGGGGCACCGGCUGCGGGUCAGGGGGGCCGCCCGCGGAGGGGGGGACCGGGAGCACCUGUCCGGGGGCGGAGCGGGGCGGGGCUCCGGGCUGGGGUGAACCGGGGCCGGGGCAUCGUUCAGGGGGUGAAUCACGCCCGGGGCACCGGUCUGAUCCUGUACCGAGACCGGGGGAACUGCUCAGGGGCUGAGCCGAGCCCGGGAUACCGGCUAGGGCUGAACCGGGCCCGGGGCACUGCUGAAGGCUGUACCGGGCCCGUGCCCCCCGCUGAGCUCCUCACCGGGGCUCAUUCCGGGGCCGGCGGCAGCCGCUGGGCAGUGGAACACGGCCGGGGGUCUCUGCAGGGGCCGGGAGCGCCCGUUCGGGGCGGGAACGGGGCCGGGGCACUGCCGAGGUCGGAGAUGUCCCGGGCAGGGCUCGGGAUCCCGGGCUGGGGUCCCGGGUCGGGGUUUAGCGGCUCCGGGGGCUCGGGGAGGGUUCCGGACAGAGUCGGGGCCCCGGGCAAAGUCUGAGCCCAGCCGGGACAGCGGCUCCGGGAGCUCGGGGAGGUCCCGGGCCAGGGCUCAGCGGCUCCGGUGGCUCGGGAGGGGCUCAGGGGUCCCCGGAUGGGCUCGGGAGUCCCGGGCAGGGUUCCUGGGCCGGGGCUCAGCGGCUC